UGGAAGUAAAAAGUGUAACAAGUUUCCGUAGGUGAACCUGCGGAAGGAUCAUUA
This 54-nucleotide ribosomal RNA is filed under the name Rhizoplaca chrysoleuca. Its description in RNAcentral is "partial 18S ribosomal RNA". The record is from RNAcentral. Lineage: Eukaryota; Fungi; Ascomycota; Lecanoromycetes; Lecanorales; Lecanoraceae.